RNAcentral lists this transfer RNA (795 nucleotides) under uncultured cyanobacterium. Its description in RNAcentral is "partial miscellaneous RNA". The stretch from base 257 to 329 matches the Rfam family "tRNA". Lineage: Bacteria; Bacillati; Cyanobacteriota. The record is from RNAcentral.
CAGGGAGACAUCACUGAUUUUGAUGCCUGAAUAAUUUAUUUUUAGGCCAUAAUCCUGUCACCUUAGGUCGAUCGGUACCUCAGUUUAUUUUUCAAAAACAAAUACAUUUGUUUUUAGAAUUUUGAAUUCAGUUCCUAAACUUUGUCUAGGUCACACCCAGCAAGGGUACUCCUGGGCCAUUAGCUCAGGCGGUUAGAGCGCACCCCUGAUAAGGGUGAGGUCCCUGGUUCAAGUCCAGGAUGGCCCAUUCGGUGUUGGGGGUAUAGCUCAGUUGGUAGAGCGCCUGCUUUGCAAGCAGGAUGUCAGCGGUUCGAGUCCGCUUACCUCCACUGAACCAACUCCUGAUUACGAAGCCUAAGGAGAUAUAUGUUGCUGUGAUCUAGCAUUUGUUCUUUAUGUAUGAACCUAGCUUCUUGUCAUUCCUCAAAAAAAUUUUGUAUGGCUGAUAGGACGCUGGGCUCACUGCAAUUCACAUUGCAGAGACGUUCAGUAGAACCUUGACAACUGCAUAGGUGAGUCUGGAAAGAAUAAAGCAUCUCAUGGAUGCAUUAUUCUUCUGAGUCAAUUAUUUUGUUUACUGAUUAACUCAGUAAACAAAUAGAUUGAUUUGAAAUGAUAAUGUUUGAUUCUUGAGCAAAAAAAAGAGCCGAGACUCUAAAUACGUUCUUUCAUUGUAUUUCAAUGAGAGUUAGAUUUUUGAUUUAUUUUUUGAGUUUAAAUUUUACGGUUUAAAUUCAAAAAUAACAAUAAAUUAAAGAGAAAAGUGCUAACAACACAGACGUUUUAGAGGUUAAU